UACGUAGGGUGCAAGCGUUAAUCGGAAUUACUGGGCGUAAAGCGUGCGCAGGCGGUUGUGCAAGACCGAUGUGAAAUCCCCGGGCUUAACCUGGGAAUGGCAUUGGUGACUGCACGGCUAGAGUGUGUCAGAGGGGGGUAGAAUUCCACGUGUAGCAGUGAAAUGCGUAGAGAUGUGGAGGAAUACCGAUGGCGAAGGCAGCCCCCUGGGAUAACACUGACGCUCAUGCACGAAAGCGUGGGGAGCAAACGGG
Molecule: ribosomal RNA, 253 nt
Filed under: uncultured bacterium
Lineage: Bacteria
Description: partial 16S ribosomal RNA
Rfam family: Bacterial small subunit ribosomal RNA
Source: RNAcentral